AUCUUAUCAAGAGUGGUGGAGGGAUAUGCCCGAAGAAACCCGGCAACCUAAGUGGAUGAACGUGUCCAUUGCAAGGUGCUAAAUCAUACAGAGCGACAAAGCUUUGAGAGAUGAGAG
This 117-nucleotide non-coding RNA is filed under the name Listeria booriae. RNAcentral's name for it is "SAM riboswitch aptamer (S box leader)". It matches the Rfam family "SAM riboswitch aptamer (S box leader)". From Rfam's summary of the family: The SAM riboswitch is found upstream of a number of genes which code for proteins involved in methionine or cysteine biosynthesis in Gram-positive bacteria. The SAM riboswitch acts at the level of transcription termination control. The predicted structure consists of a complex stem-loop region followed by a single stem loop terminator region. RNAcentral also lists the same sequence under 1 other name. The record is from Rfam by way of RNAcentral. Lineage: Bacteria; Bacillati; Bacillota; Bacilli; Caryophanales; Listeriaceae.